UGCUAGCAGGGAACGCUCGGCCAUCCUGACAUCUACGAACUCACUUCCUUGGUUCUGAGGUUGUAUUCGAUACUCUGUUCAUGGAGUGAAAAUGUGCAAGAAAAUAAGUUUUGUCAGGAGUGAGCUUCGAACCCACGUCUGGAGAACCAGACUGCGACCUGAACGCAGCGCCUUAGACCGCUCGGCCAUCCUGACAACUACGGAAUCACCUCCUUGGUUCUGAGGUUACAUUCGGUACUCUGUUCAUUGAGUGAAGAUGUGCAAGAAAAUAACAUUUGUCAGGAGUGGGAUUCGAACCCACGCCUGGAGAACCAGACUGCGACCUGAACGCAGCGCCUUAGACCGCUCGGCCAUCCUGACAUCUACGGAAUCAUCUCUUUGGUUCUGAGGUUACAUUCGCUACUCUUUUCAUGGGGUGAAAAUGUGGAAGAAAAUACAUUUUGUCAGGAGCGGGAUUGGAACCCACGCCUGGGGAACCAGAUUGCCACCUGAACGGAACGCUUAGACCGCUCGGCCAUCAUGACAUCUACGGAAUCGCUUCCCUGGUUCUGAGGUUGCACUUGCUACUCUGUUCAUGAAGGGAAAAUGUGCGAAAAAAUUACUCUUGUCAGGAGUGGGAUUCGAACCCACGUCUGGAGAACCAGACUGCGACCUGAACGCAGCGCCUUAGACCGCUCGGCCAUCCUGACAUCUACGAAAUCACUUCCUUGGUUCUGAGGUUGUAUUCGAUACUCUGUUCAUGGAGUGAAAAUGUGCAAGAAAAUAAAUUUUGUCAGGAGCGGGAUUGGAACCCAAGCCUGGAGAACCAGAUUGCCACCUGAACGGAACGCCUUAGACCGCUCGGCCAUCCUGACAUCUACGGAAUCUCUUCCUUGGUUCUGAGAUUGCACUUGCUACUCUGUUCAUGAAGGGAAAAUGUGCAAAAAAAUAACUUUUGUCAGGAGUGGGAUUCGAACCCACGUCUGGAGAACCAGACUGCGACCUGAACGCAGCGUCUUAGACCGCUCGGCCAUCCUGACAUCUACGGAAUCAUCUCUUUGGUUCUGAGGUUACAUUCGCUACUCUUUUCAUGGGGUGAAAAUGUGGAAGAAAAUACAUUUUGUCAGGAGCGGGAUUGGAACCCACGCCUGGGGAACCAGAUUGCCACCUGAACGGAACGUUUAGACCGCUCGGCCAUCAUGACAUCUACGGAAUCGCUUUCCUGGUUCUGAGGUUGCACUUGCUACUCUGUUCAUGAAGGGAAAAUG
This is a long non-coding RNA of Nematostella vectensis (starlet sea anemone), 1247 nucleotides long. RefSeq lists it as uncharacterized. The record is from RefSeq and is a predicted model, not a curated record. Lineage: Eukaryota; Metazoa; Cnidaria; Anthozoa; Actiniaria; Edwardsiidae. The transcript has 2 exons.